AGAGUUUGAUCCUGGCUCAGAUUGAACGCUGGCGGCAUGCCUUACACAUGCAAGUCGGACGGCAGCGCGGGAGCAAUCCUGGCGGCGAGUGGCGAACGGGUGAGUAAUACAUCGGAACAUGUCCAGUAGUGGGGGAUAGCCCGGCGAAAGCCGGAUUAAUACCGCAUACGAUCUAUGGAUGAAAGCGGGGGAUCGCAAGACCUCGCGCUAUUGGGGUGGCCGAUGGCGGAUUAGCUAGUUGGUGGGGUAAAGGCCUACCAAGGCGACGAUCCGUAGCUGGUCUGAGAGGACGACCAGCCACACUGGGACUGAGACACGGCCCAGACUCCUACGGGAGGCAGCAGUGGGGAAUUUUGGACAAUGGGGCAACCCUGAUCCAGCAAUGCCGCGUGUGUGAAGAAGGCCUUCGGGUUGUAAAGCACUUUUGUCCGGGAAGAAAUCCCCUGCCCUAAUACGGCGGGGGGAUGACGGUACCGGAAGAAUAAGCACCGGCUAACUACGUGCCAGCAGCCGCGGUAAA
Molecule: ribosomal RNA, 520 nt
Filed under: uncultured Burkholderia sp.
Lineage: Bacteria; Pseudomonadati; Pseudomonadota; Betaproteobacteria; Burkholderiales; Burkholderiaceae
Description: bacterial SSU rRNA
Rfam family: Bacterial small subunit ribosomal RNA
Source: RNAcentral